CAGAGCAGCCCAUAAACCUACACAGAGCAGCGCUGCGAUUGCAUGUUGUAGAAGGAAGGCGGUGGAUAUACUCGGGGGUGGAGUGGAGGGGCCGCCGAUUACAGACAACUUGUCAGACCACCCCAAUAGUCCAACUCAUUUGCACUGGCUUAACCAUCUUGACCAGCCUUCUGGAGACCAGGCAUUUCCCAGAGUUGCUCAUGGCCUGAUCAACCAUGAUGCAAGGGAAAGCACUGGUACGUGACAGAUCGUUGGGUGGAUGAGGGUUGGUGCAGAGUUGGCACGGGGUGGAAUGGCAUUGCGACUGCAGCCCAGAGAAGGAAGGACAACAGAGCCCCUGAGGAUACGUUUGAAUAUUCUUAGG
This is a long non-coding RNA of Cryptotermes secundus, 364 nucleotides long. RefSeq lists it as uncharacterized. The record is from RefSeq and is a predicted model, not a curated record. Lineage: Eukaryota; Metazoa; Arthropoda; Insecta; Blattodea; Kalotermitidae. The transcript has 2 exons.